GACGAACGCUGGCGGCGUGCCUAAUACAUGCAAGUCGAGCGAAGUUUUUCUGCUUCUUGCACUAGCACAACUUAGCGGCGAACGGGUGAGUCACACGUAAAGAGCCUUCCUCAUAGACUGGGCCACCUAUUGGAAACGAUAACUAAUACCGGAUAACAGCAUUAACUGCAUGGUUGAUGUUUAAAAGUUGGUUUUGCUAACACUUUGCGAUUGCUUUGCGGUGCAUUAGCUAGUUGGUGGGGUAAAGGCCUACCAAGGCGACGAUGCAUAGCCGACCUGAGAGGGUGAUCGGCCACACUGGAACUGAGACACGGCCCAGACUCCUAAGGGAGGCAGCAGUAGGGAAUCUUACGCAAUGGGCGAAAGCCUGACGGAGCAACGCCGCGUGAGUGAAGAAGGAUUUCGGUUCGUAAAGCUCUGUUGUUAGGGAAGAAUGAGUGUGUAGUAACAAUACACAGUAGAGACGGUACCUAACCAGAAAGCCACGGCUAACUACGUG
This 499-nucleotide ribosomal RNA is filed under the name uncultured bacterium. RNAcentral's name for it is "partial 16S ribosomal RNA". It matches the Rfam family "Bacterial small subunit ribosomal RNA", at positions 28 to 507 of the family's 1533-position model. The record is from RNAcentral.